CCUACGGGUGGCAGCAGUGAGGAAUAUUGGUCAAUGGGCGCGAGCCUGAACCAGCCAAGUCGCGUGAGGGAAGACGGUCCUAUGGAUUGUAAACCUCUUUUGUCGGGGAGCAAAAGACGCCACGCGUGGCGUUCCGAGAGUACCCUAAGAACAAGCAUCGGCUAACUCCGUGCCAGCAGCCGCGGUAAUACGGAGGAUGCGAGCGUUAUCCGGAUUUAUUGGGUUGAAAGGGUGCGCAGGCGGAAGAUCAAGUCAGCGGUAAAAUUGAGAGGCUCAACCUCUUCGAGCCGUUGAAACUGGUGUUCUUGAGUGAGCGAGAAGUAUGCGGAAUGCGUGGUGUAGCGGUGAAAUGCAUAGAUAUCACGCAGAACUCCGAUUGCGAAGGCAGCAUACCGGCGCUCAACUGACGCUCAUGCACGAAAGUGUGGGUAUCGAACAGGAUUAGAUACCCGAGUAGUC
RNAcentral lists this ribosomal RNA (459 nucleotides) under uncultured bacterium. RNAcentral's name for it is "partial 16S ribosomal RNA". It matches the Rfam family "Bacterial small subunit ribosomal RNA", at positions 338 to 795 of the family's 1533-position model. The record is from RNAcentral.